This 84-nucleotide transfer RNA is filed under the name Caudoviricetes sp. Its description in RNAcentral is "tRNA-OTHER". It matches the Rfam family "tRNA". Rfam says of the family: Transfer RNA (tRNA) molecules are approximately 80 nucleotides in length. Their secondary structure includes four short double-helical elements and three loops (D, anti-codon, and T loops). Lineage: Duplodnaviria; Heunggongvirae; Uroviricota; Caudoviricetes. The record is from RNAcentral.
ACCGCCGUAGCUUAAUCGGUGAAAGCACUGAGGUACCAUAACAACUGAGAGCAGGGGUUGAGAGUUCAAAUCUCUCCGGCGGCG